RNAcentral lists this ribosomal RNA (357 nucleotides) under uncultured bacterium. RNAcentral's name for it is "bacterial SSU rRNA". It matches the Rfam family "Bacterial small subunit ribosomal RNA", at positions 32 to 369 of the family's 1533-position model. The record is from RNAcentral.
AAUCAACGCUGGCGGCGUGCCUCAGACAUGCAAGUCGAACGAGAAAGUCCCCGCAAGGGGAUGAGUAAAGUGGCGCACGGGUGAGUAACACGUAGGUAAUCUACCUUCGGGUGGGGAAUAACCCAGGGAAACUUGGGCUAACACCGCAUAAUGCAGCGGCACCACAUGGUGACAGUUGUUAAAGCGGGGGAUUUUAGGACCUCGCGCCUGGAGAGGAGCCUGCGGCGGAUUAGCUAGNGGUAGGGUAACGGCUUACCAAGGCGACGAUCCGUAACCGGCCUGAGAGGGCGGUCGGUCACACUGACACUGACAUACGGGUCAGACUCCUACGGGAGGCAGCAGUCGGGAAUUUUGGGC